CAGCUUUGGGUGCUGACGGUGGG
RNAcentral lists this non-coding RNA (23 nucleotides) under Cricetulus griseus (Chinese hamster). The record is from RNAcentral. Lineage: Eukaryota; Metazoa; Chordata; Mammalia; Rodentia; Cricetidae.